AACGAACGCUGGCGGCAGGCCUAAUACAUGCAAGUCGAACGCUCCGCAAGGAGAGUGGCAGACGGGUGAGUAAUGCGUGGGAACCUUUCCAGUGGUACGGAAUAGCCCAGGGAAACUCGGGGUAAUACCGUAUAAGCCCUUACGGGGAAAGGUUUAUCGCCAUUGGAUGGGCCCGCGUCGGAUUAGCUAGUUGGUGGGGUAAUGGCCUACCAAGGCGACGAUCCGUAGCUGGUCUGAGAGAACGACCAGCCACACUGGGACUGAGACACGGCCCAGACUCCUACGGGAGGCAGCAGUGGGGAAUCUUGGACAAUGGAGGAAACUCUGAUCCAGCCAUGCCGCGUGAGUGAUGAA
This 354-nucleotide ribosomal RNA is filed under the name uncultured bacterium. RNAcentral describes it as "bacterial SSU rRNA". It matches the Rfam family "Bacterial small subunit ribosomal RNA", at positions 29 to 412 of the family's 1533-position model. The record is from RNAcentral.